GGGAGCAUAGGCGAAUUGGUAUAGCCAGCUGGUUUAGGUCCAGCCGUCGUAAGGCACUGUGGGUUCGAGUCCCUCUGCUCCUACCA
This 86-nucleotide transfer RNA is filed under the name Pseudomonas aeruginosa. Its description in RNAcentral is "tRNA-Leu". It matches the Rfam family "tRNA". From Rfam's summary of the family: Transfer RNA (tRNA) molecules are approximately 80 nucleotides in length. Their secondary structure includes four short double-helical elements and three loops (D, anti-codon, and T loops). Further hydrogen bonds mediate the characteristic L-shaped molecular structure. tRNAs have two regions of fundamental functional importance: the anti-codon, which is responsible for specific mRNA codon recognition, and the 3' end, to which the tRNAs corresponding amino acid is attached (by aminoacyl-tRNA synthetases). tRNAs cope with the degeneracy of the genetic code in two manners: having more than one tRNA (with a specific anti-codon) for a particular amino acid; and 'wobble' base-pairing, i.e. permitting non-standard base-pairing at the 3rd anti-codon position. RNAcentral also lists the same sequence under 4 other names. The record is from RNAcentral. Lineage: Bacteria; Pseudomonadati; Pseudomonadota; Gammaproteobacteria; Pseudomonadales; Pseudomonadaceae.